UAACUUUAAAACCUAAAUCCUACUUUAGGCUUCCGGAAUUCGGUUGCGGUUCUAGUUCUUGUGCUCAAUGAUACACAAAGCAUCUAGUCAUAUUUGACUACAAAUCCGCUAACCAAGCUUAUUCUUGAUUCUCAAAGCUUUGAUAGUGAAGCCGAAUUCUUAUGAGUUUUUGGUUUUGAACAGUUUAACAAGGAAGCAUUACUUUACUUUUCGGGAUCUGGUCGAGGUUCUAGCUUUAUAUUCAAUCAUACACAUAACAUCUAGUCAUAUUUAACUCUGAAACGCUAACGUAGAUUCUUUUUGCUUCUUAAAGUAUUAAAUAUUUUUGCUCCUAAACACUAAACAUAAACCCUACACCCUAAAUCCCAAACCCUAAAAUCUAAUCCCUAAACCCUAAACCCUAAACCCUAACCCUAAAU
Molecule: small RNA, 419 nt
Filed under: Arabidopsis thaliana (thale cress)
Lineage: Eukaryota; Viridiplantae; Streptophyta; Magnoliopsida; Brassicales; Brassicaceae
Description: ATSL038150
Source: RNAcentral